RNAcentral lists this ribosomal RNA (253 nucleotides) under uncultured bacterium. Its description in RNAcentral is "partial 16S ribosomal RNA". It matches the Rfam family "Bacterial small subunit ribosomal RNA", at positions 524 to 776 of the family's 1533-position model. The record is from RNAcentral.
UACGUAGGGGCCUAGCGUUGUCCGGAAUCACUGGGCGUAAAGCGCACGUAGGCGGCUUUUUAAGUCAGGGGUGAAAUCCUGGAGCUCAACUCCAGAACUGCCUUUGAUACUGAGAAGCUUGAGUCCGGGAGAGGUGAGUGGAACUGCGAGUGUAGAGGUGAAAUUCGUAGAUAUUCGCAAGAACACCAGUGGCGAAGGCGGCUCACUGGCCCGGUACUGACGCUGAGGUGCGAAAGCGUGGGGAGCAAACAGG